Molecule: long non-coding RNA, 7367 nt
Filed under: Zea mays
Lineage: Eukaryota; Viridiplantae; Streptophyta; Magnoliopsida; Poales; Poaceae
Description: long non-coding RNA (ZMAY_LNC002029)
Source: RNAcentral
UAACUUCAAAUUACAAAUGUACCUUCGGUCUUGAAAGAAGGUAAAAGUACAAGCGUGACGCAAAAGCAAAUGCCAAGUCAGGUUCGCGUGAACAGUACAGAGGUACUGUUCAUCUAUUUAUAGACACAGGUCGCAGCCUGUGACAAAUUACAAUUAUGCCCCUUACAAAAGUUUUCAACAUUGACUCAGAUUAUUAUGGAUAAAAAGGUCAUUCUAUCUCUAUGUCGGUUUGUAAUGCCGAAGCUCCAUAAAAGGAACCUUCGGUCGUCUCCUUGGGACGGCUUCAGCCGAAGCUGCUUCUUCGCGUGGGACCUUCGGCGCACCGAAGCACGACCCCAACAGUAGCCCCUUUCGCGGUGCUAGAUCGUUCUUCGUAACGAGCUUGACCCGUGAAAAAAGCCUCUUCAGCUUCGGGAAGCCGAAGGUCCAAAAAACACCUUCCCUGAGCUCGUUGCGGAGAAACGAUCCGACUUCCGAGCGCGUGCCGGUCCCACCUUGCAGAGUUACUGUUUGAUCCUUGCGGUCCACUGCGCAGCGGGUACAAGUUACGGCGCGCCUGGUGUAACAAUUCCGCCGCUUCGCCUUCUUACCUGCAGUACUAUAUAAACAAGCAGGUAGGUGUGAAGUUACCACAGCAUUCAUUGCUAUUUGCACUGUUUUGCUGCCGAAAUUUUCCAUCAUAGCCGAAGCUUAAAUCCCAAAAUCGAACGAAGGUCCGUCUCGACGCUUGCUUCGUCAGAAAGAAAAGCUUCGGAAAAAAGAAAAAAGAAAAAGGUUUCUGACUUCCCCAAACUCAGAAUCAAAUGGCGAGAGUGCGAUCUACUGCCAAAGUUGUUCGUGAGGGAGACGAAGCCGAAAGUUCAGGCACUGUGCCCAUCUCCGAAGCGAUGCAGCGCUCCGGUCUAGUGACUGUGGAAGAGAGGCCUGGUGCCGAAGCAAACCCGACAGCAGCCGAAGAAGAAAACAUUGAUGGGACCGACUCCGAAGAUGACUACCACAUUGCUACACCCAGCAAGCCCAGUCACCUGGAUUUUGGAAAAUCAACUGUUUCAAAAGCUGACCUUGCGAAGAUGGUGAAAGCAGGUUUUUUCAAUGAAAAUCAGAAGAAGCUACUUCGCUUCGGGGGAGAGGAGACUACCCCAAAGCCAGAGAAGGAUGAGAUUGUAAUUUUCAAAAGCUUUUUAAAAGCUGGGCUGAGAUUUCCUCUCCAUGGAAUUAUUGGAGAUGUGUUGCAAAAAUUUGGCAUUUAUUUUCACCAAUUGACUCCUAACGCCAUCGUUAGACUCAAUGUUUAUAUCUGGGCCCUCCGAAGCCAAGCUGUGGAACCGUUUGCCGACAGCUUCUGCCGAGCCCACGAAUUACAUUACCAAACAAAGGCUAGAACAGACGGACUACAUGAUAAUUUCGGCUGUUACAAUUUUGCCUACCGGAAGACAACAAAGUAUCCUGUCAUCAGCUACCGAAGCAAAUGGCCAGCAGGCUGGAAGUCUGAGUGGUUCUACGUAAAAGUUGACGAAGACAGAGAAAAAUUGGUACAAAGCCCUCUGGAAUUAAUCUUCGGAGAGACGAGGCCACACUGCCACAUCGGCGAUUUAAAGGGUCCUACCUGGGCCGCUCUGGGUGAAUUCGAAAUUAUUUCAAAACAUAUUGGCACCAGGGAUCUGGUUCAGGAAUUUUUGGCAUUCAGAGUUUUCCCUACUUUAAAAGAGUGGGAGAUGCCGAAGCUGGAGGGAGAGAAGAAGGAGGGGGAGCUUGUUCGUCUGCCUUAUCACUUUAAAUUCAAGAAGUACUUUAAGAAACCCUGCAAAGAGUGGUUAAACACAGUUGAGACAAUGUGCAAUGAAAUCUUGGGGAAUUACUCCAAAAAGGAGGAUCAAUUGAUGACAGCAGCCUUCGGCACCCGACCGAAGCGAAGGCUGAACCGAGUAUUCGAUGCCCUGGGCUUCGAAUAUCCAGACUAUGAGCAGUUGAAUAAGGGUGCCGAAGGCCACAAAAGAAAAAGAGUGGCUGAAAUUCUGACGAAGGAUGAAGAGCAACCAGCAGCAGAGAAGAAAAUUCCGAAGAAAAGGAAAAUAUCAACUCCGAAACGGAAAAUAUCCGAAGAAGAGAGAACCCCCACACCGCCUUCUACUAGCGACAUAGAAGAAAUUUUAAAGGUAAUGACUGAACCCAUGCCUACGAAGCUAAGUCCACUAGGGCUCCAACUGACGAAGCUUUUUCGAAAGGUGGACGAGCCGGAUCAGACGAAGACAAGCAAACCCAAGCGGCAAAGAAUCAUUGCGGUAACUGAAGUUAUCGAUAAGACGCCGCCAAGGGCGUCAAUCCAAAAAACGGCAGCUGCCGAAGGUACAGCAAUCGUUGAAGGCGUAGCUUCGGAGGUCGCGGCUACCGAAGCCGCUACAGCCGAAGAUACAAACUUAGAAACCACGAUUAAGAAUAUCAACAAGAUUUUGGAAGACAUGGCCGCGGAAGAAGCUGGUGCUACUACUGAAAAAACCAUGGCCACAGUGCCUGAGAAAGGAAAAGAAAUAGCCGAAGACCCUUCGGACGACGAAGCAUACACUUUCCAGAACUUAGUUGGGCAAAAACUGACGAAGGACGAAAUAGAAGAACUUAAAGACUACGCCAAGUCUUGCGGGUACGAGUCAGGUGCCCUCCUAUUUGGGGGUGUAGAUGAUGAACAACUGGGCUGCAUCCGGGACUCAGCUGGGGCUAAGGUCAUCGGUACUCUAUCAAAGAGUAUCGGUUUUCCGAAGCUGGAGUCAGACAUCAGCCGUUACCGACGACAACAUGUCGUUGGUAGUUUAUUUUAUUCCAACUUCAAGGUGAAUGACUUUUUUCUUAACCUUUAUUGCUUCUAAUAAAAACAUGUCUGACGAAGGUUGUGUUUGUGUAGAGUAUGUUAUUGAGCAAAGCCUUGCAAAUGCAGCAAGAUCUUGAAGAUAAAAAGCAUGAAAUUAUAAUCGGAAAUUUGGAAAACAAAAUAAAGGAGCAAUCAGAUGCUUUUGAGAAAAAGAACUUUGAGCUCCAGGCAGCCGAAGGCUUACUGGCGGAAGCUGAAGCAAAAAUAUCAGAACUAAACUCGAAGCUUCUCCGCCAGUCCGAGCAGUUCGAACGAGAAAAACAAGAUCUCAAUGAAAAACUUGAAGCCGAAGCUCAGCAGAAUUCAGAUUUGAGAAAACUACUGACAAAUCUUCAAGAAAAAUGCCUGGAAUUUAGCAACAAGUGCAUUCAACGAUUAAGAAAGAUCUUUUACUCGGUUGGAGCUAGCAGCGAAAAAUUUACCCCCUCAGCUGAAGAUCUACCAAAAACCUUUGAACACAUUGAGGGGGAGAUUGACGAGCUCGACGAAGUCAUAGCUGGGCAUGGUGACUUCUGUGCCUGGGUGGCUUCUCGAGGAACCGCUGCUGCAUUUCUGAAGGCCGGCUGCGAACACGGAAAAAUUGUCAACAGGCCCAACUUCACCUUAUCUCCAUCAAUCCUGGAUGAUAUGCCUGACCUCGCCCGAAGCAUCUCCAAUAGAUUUAUAAAAAUGAUAUGGACAAAAGGCGGGCGGGAGAAAGCUGGAGACGAAGCACGAAGUCAUCUUGAACCAGUAAGAAAUGAUACUUCGGAGUUACCUUUUCCUUUGCUCUUGAUUUUUACUCAUAAUCUCUUAAUUUAUGUAGGAUGACGAAGGUGAAGAUGAUGCCUAAAUUAUGUCGUCGAAGCUGAAACUUAAUGAAGAUCAGUAGAAGUGUACUGUAGAAAAACUCAGGAUAUUUUUGUAACAAUUCUUGUAAAUACAACUAGACUAUCUUCAAGGAACUUUGUACAUACCUUGUAAUAUAUUCUUACCCUUUGCUUGAGGCGCUUUGAUGUGGACGAAAUCAGUAUUUUGAGCCGAAGGCGAAAAAAAACACCUUCCCUUCUUUUCGUACACAACGAAGCCUAAAAGGUCGCUUCCUCUUUUUGCCGAAGCUUUGCUUUUUUGUACAUGACAAAACAUAAAAGACUACUUCUCCUUUCUGCCGAAGCUUUUCUUUACAAAACAUAAAAAACUACUUCUCUUUUCUGCCGAAGCUUUCCUUUACAAAACAUAAAAAACUACUUCUCUUUUCUGCCGAAGCUUUCCUUUACAAAACAUAAAAAACUACUUCUCUUUUCUGCCGAAGCUUUUCUUUGCAUGACAAAACAUAAAAGACUACUACUCUUUUACACAACGAUUCAUAAAAAACCAGUUCUCCCUUAUACUGAAACUUUUCUUUGUGCCAAAGCAACGAAACUUUUCACUUUUGCACACAACAUAGCGUAACAAGUCAUAAAAAGGCACUUCUCCGAAGCUUUUUUGCCGAAGCAGCCACUUGGGAACACAAAUGCUAUGAAUGCUUAUGCAUGCAAAUGUUAUGAUGUAAUGUAAUGCACGAAUGAAUGUCCGAAGCAUAUGUCCGAAGCCAUAUUGUCAGCCAUUACUUGGAAACAACCACACAUUAGCUCUGCAUUCCCUUAGGAACGACUUUGGAGCUUCUUCGCCUCUUACUUAGGCAAUAUCAGCGUUGACUUUUCGCUGUAAGCUCUGCAUCCCCUUAGGGACGUCUUUGGAGCUUCUUCGUCUUUUACUUAGACGGUAUAAGCUCUGCAUUCCCUUGGGAACGUCUUUGGAGCUUCUUCGCCUUUUACUUUCGGCGGAAUCAGCGUUGACUUUUCGCUGUAAGCUCUGCAUCCCCUUAGGGACGUCUUCGGAGCUUUUUCUCUUUUUCAGUUUCGGCACUCGAUGGUGCGCUCUCAGCUUUUACAUGUACAUCUUUGGGGGAUUUUGCUCUUAUAAAACUAAAAUGAAAAAUUACAUGUGAUGGCCCCAUUAAAAACCUUUCUCCCCCUUUAGAAAGGAAAAGGGUGCCAUAAAAAAGAAAAGAAAAAACAUGAAUAAUUACAUCAAGUUAUACAUAAAAUCGCCGAAGCUCAUCGGCAUUCCAAGAUCUUGGAAUUUCAUUGCCAUCCAUGUCCUUCAGUCUGUACGAACCGGGCCUUGACAAUCCUUCUUGUUAUCGCAGCGAUUUUCUAAAACUUUUGGCACUUAAACCUGAGGAAGAAAUAAGCUUUCCUCGUAAAAAACAACGAAAUUAUUAUAUGAAAACUUAACACUGUUCUUUAUUACAUGAAAGAUGGAAUUGAAUAAGAAAAGGCUGCUAUCAAGGGUAGGAUAUAUGUCAAUAGAUGUGUUUCGAUUCUGGCACAGUGCUGUUGACUGUGCGAGCUUCGGACUGUUCCCUGAGUUCCCUUUGUUGUGGAGCAUAUUGACUCCCUUCUGGCGGUUGACCUUGCUGUAGUGGAGGUGGAGGUGGAAACUGUUGCCAGGAAGCUUGAGGUUGACUUGCCGAAGCUACGGAAGCUGCAGGAUGGUUGUCUAUGUACUGUGGGAUGUAAGGUGGAUGAUACGAAGCAGUAUGCAUGACCUGCUUCGGCUGAGCUUGUUGCGCCGCAGCUUCGGCUAUCUCCUUUUGCUUUUGAGUUGUAACAUGACACGUCCUGGUGGUAUGUCCCUUGUUUUCUCCACAAAACAAGCAAAACAGCCUCCUUGGCUGAUCCCCAAAUCUUCCGCCGAAACCCCUGGCACUUCUGCCUCUUGGGGCUGGUGGCCGGAAGAAGCUUUGCUGUUGCCCCGAAGCCUGCGAGGAACACUGUGGCCUGUUCUGCUGACCACCCUUAUCAUCAUUUUGGUUAGAAUUAUGGAUGGACCUGACAUGCUUCGGAUAGAAUCUUCCUCCGAAGCCCCUGGUCAUCUCAGAAAACCUGAAGGCCUCCUCCCUUCUCUGGCGAAAAUCGUUAUCAGCACGAAUGUACUCAUCCAUCUUUUGAAGCAGCUUCUCCAGAGUCUGAGGAGGCUUCCUAGCAAAGUAUUGGGCUGCAGGUCCAGGACGAAGCCCCUUGAUCAUGGCUUCGAUAACAAUUUCAUUGGGCACCGUUGGUGCCUGCGCCCGUAAACGCAAGAACCUUCGGACAUAUGCCUGAAGAUAUUCUUCGUGAUCCUGAGUGCAUUGGAACAAAGCUUGAGCAGUGACCGGCUUCGUCUGAAAGCCUUGAAAGCUAGUUAACAACAUAUCCUUUCAGCUUUUGCCAUGAAGUAAUUGUUCCUGGUCGAAGGGAGGAGUACCAAGUCUGAGCAACAUUCCUGACGGCCAUUACGAAGGAUUUCGCCAUAACUGCAGCGUUGCCCCCAUACGAAGACACUGUUGCUUCGUAGCUCAUCAAGAACUGCUUCGGGUCCGAGUGGCCAUCAAACAUGGGAAGCUGGGGUGGCUUAUAGGAUGGAGGCCAAGGUGUAGCCUGCAGCUCAGCAGACAGAGGAGAAGCAUCAUCAAAAACAAAAUUUCCAUGAUGGAAGUUGUCAUACCAGUCAUCUUCAUUGAAGAAACCGUCUUGGCGAAGGUCAUUUUGUUGUGGCCUUCGGUUUUGCUCGUCUUGAGUAAGAUGGCGAACUUCCUCAGAGGCUUCGUCUAUCUGCCGUUGCAACUCAGCUAGCCGGGCCAUCUUCUCCUUCUUCCUCUGCACCUGUUGAUGCAGUAUUUCCAUAUCCCUGAUUUCUUGAUCUAGCUCUUCUUCCUGAAGCGUCGGGCUAACAGCCUUUCUCUUUUGGCUUCGAGCCUCCCGAAGAGAGACGGUGUCCUGGUUGUGGUCCAGCGGUUGCAAUGCUGCAGCCCCAGCCGCUGAAGCUUUCUUUGGCGGCAUGACGAAGGUCGAUGCUUGCCGAAGGUGGUCGAAAAAGGGUUCACCGGAGGUGGGCGCCAAUGUUGGGGACUUGUUCUCAAAUACUAAGAAUUAAGAACAAGGCAACAUAGAAAAUGUUAAGUGUUAAAGUCCUUCGUCCUCCAAACGUCAUAUCCCUUCGGGAUAUAAAGAAUCUCGGACGAAGGUUACGAAGGACAUACCUUCGUAAGCAUAGUAGCAAAGAACGAAGUAUUCAUACAAAUCAUGAAGUAUGAAAUAAACAUGUAAGUAUUAUCAUAGAAUAAACUUUAUUCUUAUUAUUAUGAACGAAUAUAAAUAACUUCAAAUUACAAAUGUACCUUCGGUCUUGAAAGAAGGUAAAAGUACAAGCGUGACGCAAAAGCAAAUGCCAAGUCAGGUUCGCGUGAACAGUACAGAGGUACUGUUCAUCUAUUUAUAGACACAGGUCGCAGCCUGUGACAAAUUACAAUUAUGCCCCUUACAAAAGUUUUCAACAUUGACUCAGAUUAUUAUGGAUAAAAAGGUCAUUCUAUCUCUAUGUCGGUUUGUAAUGCCGAAGCUCCAUAAAAGGAACCUUCGGCCGUCUCCUUGGGACGGCUUCAGCCGAAGCUGCUUCUUCGCGUGGGACCUUCGGCGCACCGAAGCACGACCCCAACACC